UGGGGAAUAUUGCACAAUGGAGGGAACCCUGAUGCAGCGACGCCGCGUGAGUGAUGAAGGAAUUCGUUUCGUAAAACUCCGUUUUAUGGGAAGAAAAGGACUGUACCAUAGGAGAAAGCUCCGGCUAAAUACGUGCCAGCAGCCGCGGUAAUACGUAUGGAGCGAGCGUUGUCCGGAAUUAUUGGGCGUAAAGGGUGCGCAGGCGGCUUUACAAGUUGGAUGUAAAAUAUUGUGGCUCAACCACAAACGUGCAUCCAAAACUGAAAAGCUUGGGUUAAGGAGAGGUAAGUGGAAUUCCGGGUGUAGAGGUAGAAUGCGUAGAUAUCAGGAGGAAUACCGGUGGCGAAGGCGACUUACUGGACUUAAACUGACGCUCAGGCACAAAAGCGGGGGGAGCAAACAGG
RNAcentral lists this ribosomal RNA (404 nucleotides) under Fusobacteriota bacterium. Its description in RNAcentral is "Fusobacteria bacterium partial 16S ribosomal RNA". It matches the Rfam family "Bacterial small subunit ribosomal RNA", at positions 355 to 776 of the family's 1533-position model. Lineage: Bacteria; Fusobacteriati; Fusobacteriota. The record is from RNAcentral.